CGAGUAUUAUGGGAUGGCCGGCCCUGCUGAGGGGGGAAGGGCGGGCCGCGGCUAUUAUGGGAUGGCGAGGCCGCCCGCGAGCGGAGGGGGGCAGGCAGAAAGUUGCCGUCUAAGUGCAAGCGUCACAAGGCUCCGACUUACAUAAGUUCAAGGGACGUGCACAAGUGUGAGAACAGCACCCAAGGAUGGCACAAAGCGAGACAUGUCCCUGCCCGGUGCGUCCCAGAGCGUGUGUGAUCCUUGCCUUCUGCACCGGGGCACAGCCCCAGAGUCCCUGGUGUGGUUCUCACUCCAGACCUGUGUGCCAGUGGCAGCUUUGCCCGCUUUGGAGCCCAUGGUGACCCAGCAGGUAUCACCAUCGGGAUCCAUGGAGAUUUGACUCCCCUCCUCUCCAGCCAGCCCGAGUCCAUCAGCUCUGCUCAGCAGCAGUGUUCUCGCCCAGCCAAAUGGGGAAUGCAACCUCCAGGCUAAUUAGCAGCGUUCCCUGGAGCGCAGUUGUUGCUGGGUGCAGCGCUGGAAGCACCUCUCCCAGAUCCAGCUGGAGGUAGGAGAUGAAGGAGAGUUCUGUCCCAGCCUGUUUUUUCAGUGUUUCUGCUAAAUGAGCUCAAGAGAUGUGAGUCGGUGUUAGUGAUUUUUUUGCCAGCACGCACCAGCUUUGAUACAGGAGGCAAAAAUAGGUAUGGCAGAACUGCAGUCCAGGCAGCUCAAACCAGUGGGGUGUUGAUGCAGCCCCUUUGAGACCACUGGCUCCUUCCCUGGCUGGAUCCAGCUAUUUGUUUCAUGAAGAGGGGAGGGGAUCAGGACAUCUCUAAGGCACUUUAGGGAAAUAAGAACCUAAAUAUGGUAACUAGUAAGCAUUCUUAACUUUUGUGUGUUGCUUGCAGCUUUUGUUAUUCAUUAUAUACAUAUUUCUAUGUUAAAAAACUGGUGUCAAAGUCAAAUUUUUAUAAUUGCAAAAUAGCAUUUGUUUUUUACGCCUUACUAAGUGCCUCCAUCUUCAAGAAAAAAAAAAAAGUGAAAAUAAACAUGGAAAAUUCGAA
This is a long non-coding RNA of Passer domesticus (house sparrow), 1040 nucleotides long. RefSeq lists it as uncharacterized. NCBI's taxonomy places the organism in Eukaryota, Metazoa, Chordata, Aves, Passeriformes, Passeridae. The record is from RefSeq and is a predicted model, not a curated record. The transcript is spliced from 2 exons.